UAGGGAAUAUUGGACAAUGGGUGAGAGCCUGAUCCAGCCAUGCCGCGUGCAGGAAGAAGGCGUUAUGCGUUGUAAACUGCUUUUGCCAGGGGAUAAAAAGACCGUGCGCGGUUAAUUGAAGGUACCUGGUGAAUAAGCCACGGCUAACUACGUGCCAGCAGCCGCGGUAAUACGUAGGUGGCAAGCGUUGUCCGGAUUUAUUGGGUUUAAAGGGUGCGUAGGUGGCCCUGUAAGUCAGUGGUGAAAUAUCUCAGCUUAACUGAGAGGGUGCCAUUGAUACUGCAGGGCUUGAGUACAGAUGAGGUAGCGGAAUUGACGGUGUAGCGGUGAAAUGCAUAGAUAUCGUCAAGAACACCGAUAGCGAAGGCAGCUUACCAAGCUGUAACUGACACUGAGGCACGAAAGUGUGGGGAU
Molecule: ribosomal RNA, 414 nt
Filed under: uncultured bacterium
Lineage: Bacteria
Description: bacterial SSU rRNA
Rfam family: Bacterial small subunit ribosomal RNA
Source: RNAcentral